CGGGGAAUAUUGGACAAUGGGGGGAACCCUGAUCCAGCAAUGCCGCGUGUGUGAAGAAGGCCUGAGGGUUGUAAAGCACUUUCAGUGGGGAGGAGGGUUGACAGGUUAAGAGCUGGUUAACUGGACGUUACCCACAGAAGAAGCACCGGCUAACUCCGUGCCAGCAGCCGCGGUAAUACGGAGGGUGCGAGCGUUAAUCGGAAUUACUGGGCGUAAAGGGUGCGUAGGUGGUUUGAUAAGUUAGCUGUGA
Molecule: ribosomal RNA, 250 nt
Filed under: uncultured bacterium
Lineage: Bacteria
Description: partial 16S ribosomal RNA
Rfam family: Bacterial small subunit ribosomal RNA
Source: RNAcentral